Molecule: ribosomal RNA, 569 nt
Filed under: Escherichia coli
Lineage: Bacteria; Pseudomonadati; Pseudomonadota; Gammaproteobacteria; Enterobacterales; Enterobacteriaceae
Also listed under: 1 other name
Description: partial 23S ribosomal RNA
Rfam family: Bacterial large subunit ribosomal RNA
Source: RNAcentral
UCCUGACUGACCGAUAGUGAACCAGUACCGUGAGGGAAAGGCGAAAAGAACCCCGGCGAGGGGAGUGAAAAAGAACCUGAAACCGUGUACGUACAAGCAGUGGGAGCACGCUUAGGCGUGUGACUGCGUACCUUUUGUAUAAUGGGUCAGCGACUUAUAUUCUGUAGCAAGGUUAACCGAAUAGGGGAGCCGAAGGGAAACCGAGUCUUAACUGGGCGUUAAGUUGCAGGGUAUAGACCCGAAACCCGGUGAUCUAGCCAUGGGCAGGUUGAAGGUUGGGUAACACUAACUGGAGGACCGAACCGACUAAUGUUGAAAAAUUAGCGGAUGACUUGUGGCUGGGGGUGAAAGGCCAAUCAAACCGGGAGAUAGCUGGUUCUCCCCGAAAGCUAUUUAGGUAGCGCCUCGUGAAUUCAUCUCCGGGGGUAGAGCACUGUUUCGGCAAGGGGGUCAUCCCGACUUACCAACCCGAUGCAAACUGCGAAUACCGGAGAAUGUUAUCACGGGAGACACACGGCGGGUGCUAACGUCCGUCGUGAAGAGGGAAACAACCCAGACCGCCAGCUAAG